AAAUUCAUAAGUCUUAGUUAAGAAGAUGGUCAGGGUGUGAAGAAACCUCUUCAGUUUCCUCUUUAUGUUGACACGUGCAUCCAUCUUUAAAUAAGUUACUGAAAACUAUGUAGCGUAUUGAUCGGUACCCAGAAAGAAAGCAAGAUGGCUGUGGUUCCUGAGUUCCAAGAGCCCUAUCACAGCUGACAUAGACUGUACGAAACUUCCUAGUUUUCUUGUGUGUACUUCAACCUCAAAUGGCUUUCCAAAUCUUAGCAUUGUUUCUUGCUCUCCUCAGGCCUGAAGAUGGUAGGGCAAGUCUGUUUAACAGUAUUAACAUGCUUGGUGUAGUGGAAGGGAGCAAUAUAACCCCAACAAAUUUAGCAAGGGAAGAAUUAUCAUACUGGUUUAAUCUGCUAGUAAUACAAAAGAUACAGGAACCAGAGUUUGGAGAAACUCUAGGAUCCAGGUGCCUCUGAUUCCCCUCUCUUCCCUUCCCCUCCCUUCCCUUCUUUUUCUUCAGGCUGAAGUUGUUAUUGAACUACUAAUCAAGGCCAUGCUUAAACACUGACCACGAUCUCUUUGUUUUUGUUUUUGUAUUGGUUAAGUUGAAUGGCUUUGAUAAUUGGUAAGGUUUUAUGUGAUCUCCUGAAUGCAGUGGAUGUGCUGGUAGUGUUUCGAGAGAUUCUGAAACAAACAAAUCAUUUGAAAAAAACCUUCACACUUUUUUUUUUUUGUUUUGUUAUUUCAGGUGGCCUGGGUGUGUUGCUCAUAGAAUUGUUAGGGUUCUUCUAAGACUGCUUCAGAGGUAUAAGGUUUCAGGAUUGAACCGUUUACAUGGGAGUAAGGUCACUCACCUGAAUAUACAGGGAAGAAAGAAACAGAAAUCACUGAUACUCAUGUGUUGAAAUGCAGCUUUCACUCACGGGAAGGAGGUCAAAAUCUGAAGGAAAUACUUCAAAAGUGUGGAAAGCAAAACUGUUCUCUCAAGCCCAUCUGCUGGAUAUGAUUAGUCUGUGGACAUUUUUCCCUCCAAAUUUUCAGCUCCUUAUGUGUUCUCCCACUAUAGUUUUUGUUGUGGGUGGAGUUAAGCCAGCGGUGGAAGUGAAGAGAACAUUCCUUACUAUAGCCUAAGGGGUCUGUUUUAAUAUGCCUGCUUUUCCAGCUUCAGUUAACGAGUAUGUGCAACCUGCUCUGUACAGGCUCAACAUCAGCCUGAAGACAUGAGCUCUGACAGUGCUACAUCUGCAAACCUUCCGCCAAAGGAAUGCAAUUGUCAUGGCAUUCUGGGAAGAAGAAACACGUUCUGAUUAGUCGGGUCCUAAGCCCUUAUUUAGGGAUCUGUCACAAAAACAGAGAUAGCAGCAGCAAGCAAUGAACCAGCAGAGAUGCUGAACAAUAUGCUAAGAUGUGACAGGAUGUGUCCAUCCUGGCCUGCGUCUCUGGUGGAGGGUGCACAACAUCAGCCACAUGCAGGGAGUGGUCUGCGAGGCUCGGGCUAGGAAUGGGAUCGUCUCCCUGUGAUAUUGCUGCUUUGAGCUUCAGUUGAACAUGUGUGUCCCAUGAGCAAACUAAAUAAAUGGAAGGCUUCUGCUAAGCUUGGACUCUCACAAAACUCAGCUCCUCGCCUCCGACGAAUCAACUGCCACAAACCCCACGCAGGCUGGUAUGUCACGGUGGGACAAUCCAUAAAAUUUCCGUGCAUGAAGAAGUGCUCAGGGAAGUCUAACACACUCCAUUGGAUCACUACAUCAGUGUGCUAAGGAACGAGUAAGGAGCAUUUGCAUUUAAGAGCACUGGUCUCAUGGGGAAGCCAGGACGUGACCCUGGAGGCUGCAGCAUGUGGUAUGUGACACCCUGAGAUCUUGGCUCUCCUGCUGGUGCCCCUUUUUUAGGGAGCAUGGGCACAGCAGCUCUGCCAGGGAGAAUAAGCAUUGGAAAAACCUUGGCUGAACUUCUCUGGUGUUGCAGUUUGAGAGGACGUGGACCAGUUGGAAAAAUUCAACGGAGAAGUGUUGAGUAUAAUUAUGGAGGUCUCAAAUAUGACCAAGGAGGGGUAAAGACAUGGACCAUAAACAGCUGUUGUGAGUCUGUUGUUCAGUUUGAAACCUCAAUAGAAUUUCUGCUACUGUGAGAACUAUGUAAGAGUACCGAGACCAGGUGCUACAGGGUGCUGGUGUUUGGACUGCUGUCUGGCGUAUAGCCAUACAUUGCAGCCCAGAUGACAAGGACACUGCUCUGAGGCAACCCCACAUGGAACCAAUAUGCCAGGUACAAUUGCACAGAGCACCUUGAGAUGCCCCUCGGAAGCACUGCAUGGAUACAUAUUAAUGAAAGGAUUACGUUCCCAGUGCAGGACAGCAGAAGACAGACAGCAGUGUUAUGCCUUAGAAGCUGAGUAACUACAUCAGUUGCGAAUUUGUAUGGCUCCCAGCCCACAGCCAGAGAACACACCUGUGCUCACCCAGAGGAUGAUAAGAGCUCCUACGAGAACAGCCCUUCUGCAGAAGCUCCCCUGCCAGCUCUCUGCUCCUGGUGACCCUUAACAGGAGAUGGCCUCUGCCAGGGAAUGCCUCUGGAAUCACUCACACGGGAGGAUGGGUCUGAAGUAAAGCUUGGAAGCCUUUCCAAGAUGAUGGUGAUAAUUAUUAUUAGUAUCUACUUUCUCCCUUACAUAAAAGCAGAGUCCCUCAGGAGGACCCCAGCAUGGGUGCACACUGCUGUGGGGGAUGGAGCCAUGCCCUGCUGCACCUAAGAGGUGGAGGUAAAUUCAACAAGUGUAAGCAGCAAAAGUGGAUAUGCAAGUUGAAGGCCUAUAACAAGCCCAUCAGCAAAAGGCACUCAAUAAAAUAACAAAGUACCACUGGGCAGAGGAUAGGUAGGCGCAAAGGAACAGCUGGCUACAUGUGUGACAUAUGGGAAGCAAGUACAAGAAGUCAACUCUGUCAGGAGCAGGGGAGGUGCCCCCAUGCCUUUCAGAAGGAGAAAGGAAGAAAACACCAAUAAGGAAGGAUGACAAUGAAGUGGAAAAGAAGGUGCCCAAUAGCAUCGCUGGCUGCCUGCAUCAAAUAGCCCACAAAGUCACUUACCUUGGAAGUGGAUCAAACCCCAGCAAAGCUCCUCUCUGCCAUUUUAUAUUCACAGCUAAUUUGGGAUGUGCUUGUUAAGGACUAAUUGUUUGCCUGUGUGGGGAGGGUGGUUAAGAAGUGAGCUGUGGUGAUGAUUUUUGUUAACGAAUGCCAGCUCUGUAAAGUAAUGUCUUGCUUUGAAGCUUAAA
This is a long non-coding RNA of Cygnus olor (mute swan), 3256 nucleotides long. RefSeq lists it as uncharacterized. The record is from RefSeq and is a predicted model, not a curated record. NCBI's taxonomy places the organism in Eukaryota, Metazoa, Chordata, Aves, Anseriformes, Anatidae. The transcript is spliced from 14 exons.